This 500-nucleotide ribosomal RNA is filed under the name uncultured bacterium. RNAcentral's name for it is "partial 16S ribosomal RNA". It matches the Rfam family "Bacterial small subunit ribosomal RNA", at positions 30 to 523 of the family's 1533-position model. The record is from RNAcentral.
AUUGAACGCUGGCGGCAGGCCUAACACAUGCAAGUCGAGCGGAUGACGGGAGCUUGCUCCUUGAUUCAGCGGCGGACGGGUGAGUAAUGCCUAGGAAUCUGCCUGGUAGUGGGGGACAACGUUUCGAAAGGAACGCUAAUACCGCAUACGUCCUACGGGAGAAAGCAGGGGACCUUCGGGCCUUGCGCUAUCAGAUGAGCCUAGGUCGGAUUAGCUAGUUGGUGGGGUAAUGGCUCACCAAGGCGACGAUCCGUAACUGGUCUGAGAGGAUGAUCAGUCACACUGGAACUGAGACACGGUCCAGACUCCUACGGGAGGCAGCAGUGGGGAAUAUUGGACAAUGGGCGAAAGCCUGAUCCAGCCAUGCCGCGUGUGUGAAGAAGGUCUUCGGAUUGUAAAGCACUUUAAGUUGGGAGGAAGGGCAGUAAGCUAAUAUCUUGUUGUUUUGACGUUACCGACAGAAUAAGCACCGGCUACCUCUGUGCCAGCCGCCGCGGUAA